Molecule: long non-coding RNA, 272 nt
Organism: Limulus polyphemus (Atlantic horseshoe crab)
Lineage: Eukaryota; Metazoa; Arthropoda; Merostomata; Xiphosura; Limulidae
Exons: 3
Source: RefSeq, a predicted model, not a curated record
CAUAAGUUUUUAAUAUUUAUUAACGUUAAUCAUGUCUGAUUCAGCCUGUAAAUGCGGAGAUCCUACGUGCACGUGUGGCGAAAAUUGCACGUGCGGCAAAGAAGACGGAUGCAAGUGUACUACGUGCAACAAAAAAGACGAAACUGAGAAAAGUCGGUGUAAGUGUACAGAAGGAGAACCCUGUAGUUGUACGUCAUGCACGUGUAGUAAGAAAGAAUGAAUCACUUGUAUUUGUUGGGCUGGUUCCUGUUCAAUAAUUUUAAUAUUACAUA